GCAUAUAAUUGAUAGUUGGAAUUGUAAAGUACACUCAAUUCCAAUUCAUGUUUGGAUGUAGAAACAACGGAAUUGUAAAUUAAGAAACUGUACAAUGAUUAUAUACUACUUUAAAAACAGAAAAACAUGAAAAAUAUUCUAAUAACAAUAUCCAUUACAGUGGCAACAUUACAAAAAAAGUGAAAACAAAUUCCCCAUCCAGAAAUUUCUCCAUACAGCAGCACAACUUCUCUGUACAGCAGAACAAAAAUCAAAGAGGAAAGGAGACGAGUGAGGGGAAAUUUCAUGGCUGGGCUCAUGGCUUCCGUCGGUUGAAAGACAAAAGGAAGGAGGCGUGGCCACGUGGCACCGGGCUAGGCCAAAGCGGCACGGCGAAUCUUGCCGGAUCCAGGGAAGAACGGCGCGCUGCCAAUGAGGUAGCAGC
RNAcentral lists this long non-coding RNA (424 nucleotides) under Brachypodium distachyon (stiff brome). RNAcentral's name for it is "long non-coding RNA (BDIS_LNC002555)". The record is from RNAcentral. Lineage: Eukaryota; Viridiplantae; Streptophyta; Magnoliopsida; Poales; Poaceae.